RNAcentral lists this long non-coding RNA (413 nucleotides) under Gallus gallus (chicken). Its description in RNAcentral is "long non-coding RNA NONGGAT009050". Lineage: Eukaryota; Metazoa; Chordata; Aves; Galliformes; Phasianidae. The record is from RNAcentral.
UGUACCAUAGGAAAAAAAGGAAAUUUCCUUUUUCCUGUUUUUAAUAGAGACGAUCAAUUACUGUUAGACAUUAGAGCAGCCAAGAAGGAAAAUCCCUGCUUUAUGCAGCUAGCAGGACGACGAGACUGGUUGUGUAACUCCACCCUUGAGAAGAACUGCCAGGAUCGUUGUUUAUGAGCGUGACCCAAAGGCUGGAACAGCUUCCUUACCUACAGAGUGUUGUAAUCCCGGAAAUACCGUGGGAUGUCUUCACCAACAUCUCCUUCCCAUCAACACCGCGUUCACUGCGAAGAGCAUCCCGGGAGAUACAGGACUGAGAAAUUAGGAUGGCAGAUAAUGAUCCCAUGGGCUUCAAGCAUUUCCCUCAAUAAAGUCAUGGCCACCAAGGGUCAGCCAGGAAGAUGGAUGUACCU